AUGGCUCCGUCGCCAUCCCUUAGCAACGACACCCACCCCCGCCACAGGCGAUUCCGCUCCUCGCCGGAGCAGCUCGCCGGCGCUUCCAUUGCCUCGCUAGCCUCCCCAACACUAGAAACCUUCCCCAUCCCAGAUCCCCUCCACAGCCUUCCUUCCACAACCCUAGCCUCCUGCCCCUCGCCCAAAUCCCCUUCCCCCACCUGUCCAGAUCUACCGAAUAGUGAGCAAAUCUCCAGCAAUGAAUCCUCUCCUGUAGCUCAGAUUUGCCAAUCUCCUCGAUUGGACUCAAGGUUCGUCACUCUCCGUACUCAGGAUCCAAGCAAAUCCUCUUCGCUCUCAGAUCUGCCUGCUGAGGUGCUGCCCGAAGCAAGUCGCCUUUACUCCGAGGUGCUUGCUACUCCUGCCCCCCUGCUUCCUAGCUCCAAGUCCCAGCACGAGCAGCUCCCUCUGAAAAUCCGUCCUCUUGCCGACUGCCUUAACUUCCCUGCUGAGCAGCUUGGUUCAUCUACCAUGAAGCAGCGCUUUAAUCUGGUCGAAGUGACAGAUCCAGCUGUGGUUUCCCAAGGAGCAGCAACCAAAGAUCUCCGUAUCCUUAAGAGUGGACGCAGAGUGCAAAUGUCAGCUCAAAUCCCUCCUGUUUCACAGCAGCUGAAAGUCCCUCCCACCAUGGAUGACCUUGCCAACCGCCCCUCUCAAGAAGCUGUAUUUCUUUCGGCCACAGGAGAGAUUGACCGUCUGAGGCAGAAGUUUUCUGCUCGCUCCAUAGUUGCUUGGCAAGUUGGGACUCAGGGUUCCAAGGUUGAUCCCAAUGUGUUUGCUGACGAUGUUCGUUCAGCAUUCCGGAUUAGGCGGUCGGAUAUCCAGAUUACAAAGUUUCACCCUAAAGAUUUUUUCAUCACAUGUGCCAGCCAGAGUGACAGGGAUGCCAUCCUGAGGCAGCCACGGCUUGCCACCAAGUCUGGGCGAGUCUAUCUCUUCCGCCCGUGGGAAGAAGGCUUGCAUGGUGUCCCGGCGUGUUUCAGAUUCAGAGCUCGAGUAUGCAUUGAGGGGCUCCCAAUGCAUGCCCGUACAGAUGAAGCAGUAGCCAAGAUCAUUGGAAGAAAGUGCUCCGUUCAUUAUGUUGAAGAGUAUUCCCACCGCAGGAACUACAACCGCACUUUUGACUUAUGGAUUUGGACUGACGCUCCAAAAUUCAUCCCGCGAUCUUCGAGCUUCUCUCUCACCAAUGCUGAUGAAGAAGGUCUGCCCAUAGACAUCCCCCUUCCGGACCUGGAACCGCACCACAAUCCGCCGCCAGAGGAGCCAAAGGAGGGGUGGACUUACAAUGUCCUGAUUCAUAUUGACACCCUGGAAGACCUUCACUGCAAGCUUGCCCGUGCGUACGACUAUCAGUACGGUGCUGAAGAUGAUGGUGUUCGCUUCCGGGAAUUCCUGCUUCCCUCCGUGUCGAUAGACAACAUAUCGGCUAGAAGAAUAGGAGGUGGGUGCAGGAUCACACAGAGCCCGAGAGCUAACUGUGCGGCGUGCAAUGGAGGUCGAGGGGAUAGUGAAGCUCCAACUGCUAUACGCAUCAAGGCGUGGGGUGCUAGGAGCAGCACUUUGACCUUGGGUUUGGUUUAUGCCGGGCUUUACAACCAACGGUCCGACAUUGAGGAUGUUACACCUGAUCCAAGAAAGGGCCCUGAUGAUGAUGAAGAAGACAGGGAGCAGCGCUCCCAGGGCCAGCAUAGGAGCCGCUCCCUCUGGAGCCGUGUUGGUGGACGAUCCUCCAGCCGGAGCAGGGAACCGGUUGGCAGUGAACGUCAG
RNAcentral lists this long non-coding RNA (1806 nucleotides) under Oryza sativa tropical japonica subgroup. RNAcentral describes it as "lncRNA OsAzu_06g0014830". The record is from RNAcentral. Lineage: Eukaryota; Viridiplantae; Streptophyta; Magnoliopsida; Poales; Poaceae.